GUUAGGGUGGCAGAGCCCGGCAAUUGCAUAAAACUUAAGCUUUUACAGUCAGAGGUUCAAUUCCUCUCCCUAAC
Molecule: transfer RNA, 74 nt
Filed under: Rousettus amplexicaudatus (Geoffroy's rousette)
Lineage: Eukaryota; Metazoa; Chordata; Mammalia; Chiroptera; Pteropodidae
Description: tRNA-Leu
Rfam family: tRNA
About the family: Transfer RNA (tRNA) molecules are approximately 80 nucleotides in length.
Source: RNAcentral